GACUCCAAAUUCGUGAAGCGUUCCAUAUUUUUAUUGGAACGAUACAGAGAAGAUUAGCAUGGCCCCUGCGCAAGGAUGACACGCAAAUCAUAUUAAUAAAUUUAUUAAUU
Molecule: small nuclear RNA, 110 nt
Organism: Sorex fumeus (smoky shrew)
Lineage: Eukaryota; Metazoa; Chordata; Mammalia; Eulipotyphla; Soricidae
Source: RefSeq, a predicted model, not a curated record